Molecule: ribosomal RNA, 253 nt
Filed under: uncultured bacterium
Lineage: Bacteria
Description: partial 16S ribosomal RNA
Rfam family: Bacterial small subunit ribosomal RNA
Source: RNAcentral
UACGUAGGGUGCGAGCGUUGUCCGGAAUUAUUGGGCGUAAAGGGCUCGUAGGCGGUCUGUUGCGUCAGGAGUGAAAACUCGGGGCUUAACCCCGAGCCUGCUUCUGAUACGGGCAGACUAGAGGUAUGCAGGGGAGAACGGAAUUCCUGGUGUAGCGGUGAAAUGCGCAGAUAUCAGGAGGAACACCGGUGGCGAAGGCGAGUCCCUGGACAACUCCUGACACUGAGGCACGAAAGCUAGGGGAGCAAACAGG